CUGCCCCUAGAGGCAUUGCAGGUGUGGCUGCUGUGACACAUGUGUCAGUAGCUGGUAGAAAGGAAAGAGGCUGUGUCUAUAGCUUAAUGUUCUGACAUCUGAAUGAUUAGUAGCCUAAAUU
This 121-nucleotide small nucleolar RNA is filed under the name Mus spretus (western wild mouse). RNAcentral's name for it is "predicted gene, 24375 (ENSMSPG00010014780.1)". It matches the Rfam family "Small nucleolar RNA SNORA17". Rfam says of the family: snoRNA ACA 17 belongs to the H/ACA family of snoRNAs and is predicted to guide pseudouridylation of the 28S rRNA at positions U4659 and U4598. It shares the same host gene together with ACA43. NB This family has a high threshold value to exclude a large number of closely related sequences that do not appear to have conserved H and ACA boxes, and may be pseudogenes. The record is from RNAcentral. Lineage: Eukaryota; Metazoa; Chordata; Mammalia; Rodentia; Muridae.